GACGAACGCUGGCGGCGUGCUUAACACAUGCAAGUCGAACGAAAAGCGACUGAUGCUUUCUUCUUUCAAUCUUAGUGGCGCACGGGUGAGUAACGCGUAAUCAACCUGCCCUUUAGGUGGGGACUACCAUUGGAAACGACUGCUAAUACCGCAUACCAUCUAACCUCUGCAUCGAGGAUAGAUUAAAGGUGGCCUCUACAUGUAUGCUAUCACUGCAGUUGGGGAUUGCGUCUGAUUAGGUCGUUGGAGGGGUAAAGGCCCACCAAGGCGAUGAUCAGUAGGCGGAAUGAGAAGAAGAACAGCCAAAAUGGGAAGGAGAAAAGGCCCAGACUGCUACAGGAAGGAGCAAGGGGGAAACAUGCGCAAUGGACGGAAGUCAGACGGAACAACGCCGCGGGAGGAAUGACAGCCUUCGGGUUGGAAAGGACGGUUUAUCGGGACGAAAGGGCUUCUUGCGAAUAGUGAGAAGGAUUGACGGUACCGGAAUAGAAAGCAACGGCUAACUACGUG
RNAcentral lists this ribosomal RNA (510 nucleotides) under uncultured bacterium. RNAcentral describes it as "partial 16S ribosomal RNA". It matches the Rfam family "Bacterial small subunit ribosomal RNA", at positions 28 to 507 of the family's 1533-position model. The record is from RNAcentral.